Molecule: ribosomal RNA, 651 nt
Filed under: Kocuria sp. I10A-01275
Lineage: Bacteria; Bacillati; Actinomycetota; Actinomycetes; Micrococcales; Micrococcaceae
Description: bacterial SSU rRNA
Rfam family: Bacterial small subunit ribosomal RNA
Source: RNAcentral
UCGACGAUGAUGCCCAGCUUGCUGGGCGGAUUAGUGGCGAACGGGUGAGUAAUACGUGAGUAACCUGCCCUUGACUCUGGGAUAAGCCUGGGAAACUGGGUCUAAUACUGGAUACUACCUCUUACCGCAUGGUGGGUGGUGGAAAGGGUUUUACUGGUUUUGGAUGGGCUCACGGCCUAUCAGCUUGUUGGUGGGGUAAUGGCUCACCAAGGCGACGACGGGUAGCCGGCCUGAGAGGGUGACCGGCCACACUGGGACUGAGACACGGCCCAGACUCCUACGGGAGGCAGCAGUGGGGAAUAUUGCACAAUGGGCGGAAGCCUGAUGCAGCGACGCCGCGUGAGGGAUGACGGCCUUCGGGUUGUAAACCUCUUUCAGUAGGGAAGAAGCGAGAGUGACGGUACCUGCAGAAGAAGCGCCGGCUAACUACGUGCCAGCAGCCGCGGUAAUACGUAGGGCGCAAGCGUUGUCCGGAAUUAUUGGGCGUAAAGAGCUCGUAGGCGGUUUGUCGCGUCUGCUGUGAAAGCCCGGGGCUCAACCCCGGGUCUGCAGUGGGUACGGGCAGACUAGAGUGCAGUAGGGGAGACUGGAAUUCCUGGUGUAGCGGUGAAAUGCGCAGAUAUCAGGAGGAACACCGAUGGCGAAGGCAGG